This 68-nucleotide transfer RNA is filed under the name Rubrivirga sp. RNAcentral describes it as "tRNA-Leu". It matches the Rfam family "tRNA". Rfam says of the family: Transfer RNA (tRNA) molecules are approximately 80 nucleotides in length. Their secondary structure includes four short double-helical elements and three loops (D, anti-codon, and T loops). Lineage: Bacteria; Pseudomonadati; Rhodothermota; Rhodothermia; Rhodothermales; Rubricoccaceae. RNAcentral also lists the same sequence under 1 other name. The record is from RNAcentral.
GCCGAUUUCUUGAGGGUUGGAACGCACUCGUAAUGCGUAGGUCCGGGGUUCAAAUCCCCGAGGCGGCU